UACGAAGGGGGCUAGCGUUGCUCGGAAUGACUGGGCGUAAAGGGCGCGUAGGCGGAUGGCACAGUCAGAUGUGAAAUUCCCGGGCUUAACCUGGGGGCUGCAUUUGAUACGUGUUGUCUAGAGUGAGGAAGAGGGUUGUGGAAUUCCCAGUGUAGAGGUGAAAUUCGUAGAUAUUGGGAAGAACACCGGUGGCGAAGGCGGCAACCUGGUCCUUGACUGACGCUGAGGCGCGAAAGCGUGGGGAGCAAACAGGAUAGAU
This 259-nucleotide ribosomal RNA is filed under the name uncultured bacterium. Its description in RNAcentral is "partial 16S ribosomal RNA". It matches the Rfam family "Bacterial small subunit ribosomal RNA", at positions 524 to 783 of the family's 1533-position model. The record is from RNAcentral.